This 133-nucleotide transfer RNA is filed under the name Promethearchaeota archaeon. RNAcentral's name for it is "Candidatus Lokiarchaeota archaeon (permafrost metagenome) tRNA-Arg". It matches the Rfam family "tRNA". Rfam says of the family: Transfer RNA (tRNA) molecules are approximately 80 nucleotides in length. Their secondary structure includes four short double-helical elements and three loops (D, anti-codon, and T loops). The record is from RNAcentral. Lineage: Archaea; Promethearchaeati; Promethearchaeota.
GGGCCUGUAAUCUAGCCUGGAUAAUUGUGAGAUAUUUUAUCGCACGAUCCUAGGGGUGCCCGGCUUCGGACUGGGAUGUUAGAUGGAAUAUUCCAUCGACCCAAAGUCGCAGGUUCAAAUCCUGCCAGGCCCA